RNAcentral lists this ribosomal RNA (497 nucleotides) under uncultured bacterium. RNAcentral describes it as "partial 16S ribosomal RNA". It matches the Rfam family "Bacterial small subunit ribosomal RNA", at positions 28 to 507 of the family's 1533-position model. The record is from RNAcentral.
GAUGAACGCUGGCGGCGUGCCUAAUACAUGCAAGUCGAGCGAACAGACGAGGAGCUUGCUCCUCUGACGUUAGCGGCGGACGGGUGAGUAACAUGUGGAUAACCUACCUAUAAGACUGGGAUAACUUCGGGAAACCGGAGCUAAUACCGGAUAAUAUAUUGAACCGCAUGGUUCAAUAGUGAAAGACGGUUUUGCUGUCACUUAUAGAUGGAUCCGCGCCGCAUUAGCUAGUUGGUAAGGUAACGGUUUACCAAGGCGACGAUGCGUAGCCGACCUGAGAGGGUGAUCGGCCACACUGGAACUGAGACACGGUCCAGACUCCUACGGGAGGCAGCAGUAGGGAAUCUUCCGCAAUGGGCGAAAGCUUGACGGAGCAACGCCGCGUGAGUGAUGAAGGUCUUCGGAUCGUAAAACUCUGUUAUUAGGGAAGAACAAAUGUGUAAGUAACUAUGCACGUCUUGACGGUACCUAAUCAGAAAGCCACGGCUAACUACGUG